GGGUUGUGAGGUUAAGCGACUAAGCGUACACGGUGGAUGCCCUGGCAGUCAGAGGCGAUGAAGGACGUGCUAAUCUGCGAUAAGCGUCGGURAGGUGAUAUGAACCGUUAUAACCGGCGAUUUCCGAAUGGGGAAACCCAGUGUGWUUCGWCACACUAUCAUUAACUGAAUCCAUAGGUUAAUGAGGCGAACCGGGGGAACUGAAACAUCUAAGUACCCCGAGGAAAAGAAAUCAACCGAGAUUCCCCCAGUAGCGGCGAGCGAACGGGGAGCAGCCCAGAGCCUGAAUCAGUGUGUGUGUUAGUGGAAGCGUCUGGAAAGGCGCGCGAUACAGGGUGACAGCCCCGUACACAAAAAUGCACAUGCUGUGAGCUCGAUGAGUAGGGCGGGACACGUSGUAUCCUGUCUGAAUAUGGGGGGACCAUCCUCCAAGGCUAAAUACUCCUGACUGACCGAUAGUGAACCAGUACCGUGAGGGAAAGGCGAAAAGAACCCCGGCGAGGGGAGUGAAAAAGAACCUGAAACCGUGUACGUACAAGCAGUGGGAGCACAGAGCAAUCUGUGUGACUGCGUACCUUUUGUAUAAUGGGUCAGCGACUUAUAUUCUGUAGCAAGGUUAACCGAAUAGGGGAGCCGAAGGGAAACCGAGUCUUAACUGGGCGUUAAGUUGCAGGGUAUAGACCCGAAACCCGGUGAUCUAGCCAUGGGCAGGUUGAAGGUUGGGUAACACUAACUGGAGGACCGAACCGACUAAUGUUGAAAAAUUAGCGGAUGACUUGUGGCUGGGGGUGAAAGGCCAAUCAAACCGGGAGAUAGCUGGUUCUCCCCGAAAGCUAUUUAGGUAGCGCCUCGUGAAUUCAU
RNAcentral lists this ribosomal RNA (861 nucleotides) under Escherichia coli. Its description in RNAcentral is "bacterial LSU rRNA". It matches the Rfam family "Bacterial large subunit ribosomal RNA", at positions 1 to 894 of the family's 2925-position model. Lineage: Bacteria; Pseudomonadati; Pseudomonadota; Gammaproteobacteria; Enterobacterales; Enterobacteriaceae. The record is from RNAcentral.